Patella vulgata (common limpet) is the source of this 1048-nucleotide long non-coding RNA. RefSeq lists it as uncharacterized. The record is from RefSeq and is a predicted model, not a curated record. The transcript has 7 exons. Lineage: Eukaryota; Metazoa; Mollusca; Gastropoda; Patellidae.
AACACAAAUGAACUAGGAACAUCAAUUUCUCUGGAUCAGAACGCAGUCUGGUCUAAACCAGAUGUGGACUAUACACCUUAUAAAAAUAUUAUAUCAGCUGUAUGGCCCACAUUAAGACAUAGAAACUAUACUUGGGGUUUACUGGAAGACCCAGCAUUCUCUACUCUAACACAUUUUACUCAACCGAAGAUGAUGAUAAGAGAUCCUUGUUCACAUCCAGAUGUUAUAAAGUGUGGACAAACCGAAAACGAAUACAUCAAUGUAUUAACUCAAAAUACUUUAAAACACGGAAGGCGGUAUUAUAUCUGUAUCCAUGCUGAUGCUGUUGUUGCUGGUCAUGAAAAAUGGACGGAAGAUUUGGAAGAAGUAAACGCAUGUAGUGAUGGUGUAACUGUUGAUUUGACUCCACCAAAUGGUGGUCGGGUGUGGGUGGAGAACUUGAAAGAUUUUAAAUACCAGUCAUCCGACAGUGAUGUAGCUGUUUACUGGGAUAGUUUUCUUGACGUAGAAGAAAAUGGUGGAAAAACUGUUCAUCCAAGUGGAAUAUCAAAAUAUCAUUUAUAUAUCGGUUCUAUAGAGGGAGGUGAAGAUAUUGUAACUAAACAUAACGUUGGUUUGAUAAAUCAUAAAAUAUUACACCAUCUUUCUUUACAAAAUGGCCACACUUAUUACGUCACUAUAGAAGCAAUUGAUUUUGUAAACAGGACAAAAACCGUUUCAUCUGAAGGUUUCAUAAUUGAUAAUAGUCCACCAGAAACUACAUCUAAACCUAUACAAUUUACUAAUACAUAUAUACAGUCAAAUGAUGUAUUGUCUGCGUGUUGGAGUGGAUCAUUUAAAGACACCGAAAGUGGUAUAAGUCAGUAUCGGUGGGCAAUAGGUACUAGACCAGGUCAUGAAAACAUUAGGGCUUAUAUGAUAACCGAUAAUGAUUGUGAUGAAGCGAACCUAGAACACAAAUUGCAAGAUGGACACGUUUAUUACGUAACAGUUCAGGCCAUUAAUGGUGCAGGGUUAUCUACUACAUUAAUAUCUCAUCCAGUGACAG